Long non-coding RNA from Neopsephotus bourkii (Bourke's parrot), 425 nucleotides. RefSeq lists it as uncharacterized. Lineage: Eukaryota; Metazoa; Chordata; Aves; Psittaciformes; Psittacidae. The transcript has 4 exons. The record is from RefSeq and is a predicted model, not a curated record.
AACAAAGUCAUCAUGGGUGUUCCCUGUGCUGCUGCCACUGGAGCCCUCCGAGUGUAAGCUGCCUUGUAGAGGAGAUUCAGUUUCUGGGGAGUCAGGAGGAUUGACCUGGCCAAGAAAUCAAAGAUGGUAUGUGCUGCACCCUUAGAAUAAAGGGGACCCAGACUGAGGUGCAAUUCAAACACACUGAUAUGAAGAGAGAACUCCAUCAACCAGAGUGAUGUUCCAGAGUUUUCAGAUUAGGACAGCUUUGUUUCUGUGUAUUGCUCAUGGACAGACUUUCUCCUGAAUUUUUGGCUAGUUAACAACAUAAAGACAUGCUAUGCAAGCUCGCAGGGAGAAAGAGUUAAAAAAGUCUGGUUUCCCUUACCUGAGAUGGAGGAGAGGUAGAAAAAGAUGUGGUACACACUUCUUGGGAAUCUUCUACU